RNAcentral lists this long non-coding RNA (3995 nucleotides) under Scophthalmus maximus (turbot). RNAcentral describes it as "lncRNA (ENSSMAG00000024206.1)". Lineage: Eukaryota; Metazoa; Chordata; Actinopteri; Pleuronectiformes; Scophthalmidae. The record is from RNAcentral.
AUGCGCAUCGUGAUUAACCCUUCAGCGACAACUUCAGAGGGGCUCUCACAGAUUUCAACAGUCAUUAACAGUUUGGGAUUUAAAGACAACAUUCAACGGGCGUCCGCCCAAGAGCCACGCCAGGAGACCACAGGGUCACCCAGAAAACAUCGUUACCAGACAGUGUUAGAACAACAGUUGUACAAUCCAGCACUGUCAGGAACCUUUCCCGCCGUUGUCUUUGUGUUUGCCGAGUGAUGAAAGGCUGAAGGAAUGCUGCUCGGCUCGACCUGAGGCUACGCGCUGUAUGCAGAAGGUCACUGAAACAGCCCUCGCUUUCUGAAUAGCGUGGAUCAUUCACAGGUACACCGCGUGAAAUCCUCACACCCCAAACUGACGGUUCAACGUACAUUAUUAUUCUCUGACUUUAACAUUAAUCAAUUAUGUUAUCCACUCAUCCAUCCAGUUAUCUCAAGUAGUCAUUAAUCUGAAUAUUAUACUGUAUGUUUAGUCACUUUAGCUAUAUAAUAUAUUUUAUUAAAUAACAUGUACGUUAUUAAUGUUAGUUUAUUAGAGUUCCCCUUUUCUUUCAACAAAGACUUGAUUAAGUGUAAUUAUUUUGGUCCCCCAAAACUUGGCCCACCUACAAAAAAAUUCCAUCAACAAAUGGGACAAAUUUCUCUCAGAACAUAAAACCCCCAAAUGAAAAGUUGAGAACUCAAUGUGUUUGGUAAGAAAGAACAGGUUCCCAGUCAUCCUGCAAGCAAUGCAAUAGUGGAGCACAAGAGCGAGGGGGAGGGAGAAGGAGAGAGAAAGAAAGGAGAUCAUAAGGGAGGGAAAAGUUCAGGGGAAGAAGGUGGAGAAGGAAAAUGGAGAGUGCACCUGUAACCUUACCGUCAUGAAAGGUACCCCAAGGAAAGAAUGUAACAAAACCAAAGUAAAGUGAGUAUAUUUGGAGGGAGGGGGCCGAGAAAGAAAGAGAGAAAAAAAGAAGAAAAAAAAAAGAUCUUGAAUUUCCAGCCCGCUGCCUGAGAAUGCUCCCGUCUUCCUCCCGGUCGGUCAGGCCCCAUGAAAUGAGAAAGCCGAGCAGACCUGCUCUCCCAGACUCUAUUUAGUUAAUCAUCAGCAUUAUAAACCAGUGCUGCGGGCCCUCUGAGGAAGAAAAGAGGGAGAGAGAGAGAGAGAGAAAAGGGGGGGGGGGAGAAAGAGUGAAAAAAAGAUUAGCCCCGAAAAUUCUAGCAGGUGGAAAGGAGCUGUGAAAAUAACAGUACCUGAUGGAAGUAGAACACGACCCGCGUGUUACCUUUCGAAAUGUGUGACCCACCCCAGCGUCCGACAAGCUUCCUCUCAAUUAGUCCCCCGUUUGUUUCGAAUACAGAUCUUCUUCUGCUCUUAGUCAAGGUUAUGUACUUCAGAGUUGUUGCCCUGCAUUUGCAUGGGACUCUCAGCCACUUAUGGCUGCCCCGUGCUUCUCCGCCUGUUCAAAGUGAGGCGUGCUCAGGUAACUCUGCCCUCCGCGCUGGAAUGUGACUCCUCUGUGAAGUGAACAACCCGAUAGGCAAACUGGCCUGGCCCUUAAUCAAUAGUUGCUGUCUUUGUGAGAAAAACAAUGGAAAGGGAAACCCAAAACCUUAUUUAACUACGGACGAUAUCUCGAGCGCCACCUUGGCCGGGCCCUCAGACGACUGAGGAGCAGCCUGGGAGCUGAAAUAUUUAGGCCACGAUACUGCUUAUCAUCAUGUCCCGCUCUAGCUUUUUUCUUCUUCUGAAUGUGAACUAUAGUUCGAAUUAAAUUGUCAUUUUAGAGGUCGGCGCUCCUUCUCCCAACUCCCUGUUGCCUCAUCUCUGUGUCUCGAAUAGUUUAAAUGAAGGACUAAAAUAUUUAGUAGUUUUAAUUUUUUUAAAUUUAGGAUUUGGACUUUUCCUUUCCUGCUCAAUAUUUUCUCUACAAUCCUAAACUUAGCUAUUUAGCCUAUCCACAUCUUUUUUGGCAGGUUCCUUCUACCUUUCUGUUUUAAAUAUUACAAACAGUGGAAUAAAAAAUAUUAAAAGUGUUUUUUAUUUAUUUUAAUUAUUCAUACUACUCCCUGGUGGCUCAAAAUGUAACAUCUGUCAAAGUUGAUCAAAUGUGAAUUAAUCCCUUUAGGAAUAAUCUUUUUAGAUUUUAAGCUGUAAGAAGAAAACAUCUUUAAUCAUAUUUUCCUCAUUAUGAAGAUUCAUUGAUAAAAAACUUAAAUAAAAGCAAAGGGCUUUCUUCAGACAUUAGCAUGUAGCAUUAACUCUUAGCAAUGGCCCUGGUCCAUAAUGCACUGUCAUUCCCCCUAUCAGCUGAAUCAAACUGCAGCUUUAACUUAACCUCUCACCCCACGUGGUGAUAAGAGCAACAGUUCCCUUUCAUUUCAAGCCAGCGACUGGAACAGGAACAAACAACAUUAAAUCGGUCCACCAUUUCGUCCGGCCUUCCACUCAUAUAAAACCCGUGUUCGGCCGAAAUUCUGCUCUGCACUUCCCGCCCCGCUUGCCGUACGCUGGCGGAGCGACUGCCGCUCAUGUGACUUGCAGCUAUUCAGGUUUAUGAAAGAAAUGUUUCUGUUUCCACCAAUCACAAUCUUCCACCUCGCCCUGCAGCCGCAGCUGUACGGUGUGUGGUCGACAUUUUUCCCUCCAUUUUCCUUUCUUCUUCCCCGACUGCGACGGACCUCAUCGGCUUAAAACUAUCUUGUGCCGAGAAAAACUCGACAAUCUAUACCCUCUCCCAUCUAAUGGAAACUCUCUGCUCCAAUAAGUCCAACACUGCCGUCCGUCUCGAGUUGCAGCGAACGCUCGGUGGCAGGGGACACCGAUGAGCAGACAUUUUCUGUUCCGCUCUGUGACUGGCUUCUUUUUUUUUCACUCUCUAAAAGUGCACAAACCGGGCAUUGUUCAGUCAAAUCUCUGAGUCUAACCGCCAAAAGAGAAAAGCAGUUACAGGUUGUGAGAGGAAAUAAAAACCAGAGAAUAUGUGUUAUAGAUAACCAGGGCUUUACAAUUCAACAGGUUGUAAAGAAAAAGAGUUUAGAACUCUUUAAAAAAUCACGUAACAAUAAUACUAAUGCCGUAUCGCUUUCAGGUUAUUAAUUUAAAGCUGUUUCAUACCGUAAUUUAGUUGAUGCGUCCUUGUACUGUAAAGAAUAUUCUAACGCCCUAAAAGAAGGACUCUGCCUCUGUCUUCAAAUCCUUUGACAAGUCUGGCAGUUUGCCUUUACCUGCCCCAACUGGUCGAUCCAGUUUAGGAAUGAGCGUUGGCUCCUAUUGUUUCCUCUUCUUUCUCUCCGGUUAAAUGGAACUGGAAUUCGAUACACACUAUUUUCGCUUCCCAUCGAAACUACCUAUAGUCUCCCAGAGCGGCGCACAAUCGCGCAGGGCUUCGUACAACGAUUCUAAUUUGUUUGCCGCACGUUUCCUGAUCUUAGCCGAUGGAACAAAUGUCCUCAAAGAUUGAACUAUGCCACCGCUGAGCAACAGGUUAUGGCGACAGCUCGCGCCUCAAAGAUGGAGAACGGAGACAAAGAAGGGAUCACAUUUGUGAAUUUACCCCGUCCUUCCCAGGUGUGGUCGCCGAGCCAUAAACCCAAGACAAGAGGCAUCAUUGUAUGAGGGCUCUUGACGCCCCGUUGGCUAGUCUUCCUCUUUCCCGCUCCCGCUGAAGGACGGUCGACCUCUGGAGUGGCGGUUGGAAGGGGAAAAGCCGUCCCUUUCAGGUAGAUGCAGCCGUGGACAAACCCCCGGAACAAAACCAACCAGUUUGAAGCGCGUCAGCUAUCUUCCUGCUGCCCAAGCAGAACUUGUUUUUUUCCAGGUGCUCUCAUCGGCGCUGUUAGGCGGAUAAGCUCCUCGAGUAGACAGAGGCUGAAUUUGUAAAGGGCUUGGUUUACAUGUAGCCUGACCCCCCCCCUCCCAUUUUUUCCCCCACAGGUGUAAUUUUCAGGUCGCAGCCAAUGUCCUUAGCCUCUGGCGCUCACAGGUGUGUCCCCCGC